UUCCUUCUACAAGCAUCCAUAUAGCUCAAACCCUAACCAUUCAUCAACCUUAUCAGUCUUCACUCCGGCGAACGGCGAUGUCUCACUUCGGUAGAUCAGGCCCUCCGGACAUCAAAGACACCUACUCUCUGCUCGUUCUCAACGUUACUUUUCGUACCACUGCUGAUGACUUGUUUCCUCUAUUCGAUAAGUAUGGAAAAGUAGUCGAUGUCUUUAUCCCUAGAGACCGAAGGACUGGAGAUUCUAGGGGUUUUGCAUUUGUGCGCUACAAGUAUCAGGAUGAGGCUCAAAAGGCAGUGGAAAAGCUUGAUGGAAGAGUUGUAGAUGGUCGGGAAAUCAUGGUUCGAUUUGCGAAGUACGGCCCAAAUGCUGAGAGAAUUGACAAAGGUAGAAUUUUGGAGCCUGUACAAAGGACAAAAGGGAGGUCAAGAAGCCGCAGUCCUAGACCAAGGCAUCGUGAACAUAGGGACAAGGAUUCUAGAAGGAGAAGCCGAAGUAGAAGUAGAAGUAGAAGUAAGGGAAGGUAUGACCGUGAUCAGUACCGUGGAAGAGACAGAGAUAACCGUCAUCGGAGCAGAAGCCGCAGCCCUGAUUACCACAAAGGUCGUGGGAGAGGUAAAUAUGAUGAGGACAGGCGCAGCCGAAGUCGGUCUCAUGGAAGAAGUGCCUCCCCUGCUCGCCGUAGCCCCAGUCCAAGAAGGAGCCCUUCUCCACGAAGAACAACUCCUCCUAGGGAUGCUAGUCCAGAUGGACGUAAUCACAAGGACCGGUCUCCAACUCCAAAGAGUAUAUCACCGCGGGGUAGACGUGCUGGUUCCCGCAGCCCCUUGCCACGUUCUGAUGCUGAUGAUUAAGGAGCAAGGGAGGAGGCCACAGUUGUAAUCUAGCUUUGGUCGAUGCUGCGUAUCAGGACAUUCCCAAGUGAAUGAUCCUUUCAUCUGUAUUCUGCUUGCUAGAACUGGUUGGCCAGACUUAUUUAUAAGUUGGGUCCGUGAAAAGUCAAUGUGGCUGAAUCACAAGACGAUGCAGCAGCUGUUGAUGCUGUUAUAUUUGCUGUUGGUUGUAUUUUUGUUGCCGUUCACAAACUACUGUUUCUUCGCUGAAUGGCAAGGAGAUGCAGCAGCUGUAGAUGCUGUUUUAACUUGGCUGCUUAUAAUUUGUUGCUGGUGACAUACUACUGUUUGUUGGUUGAAUGCAAGCAGAUGCAGCAGCUGUUGGUGCUGUUUUAGCUUUGCUGUUGUAUUUUUGUUGCUGGUGACAAAUUACAUUUUCUAUACAAAUGUUCAGGAUGCUCAUGAUCGGUAAGGAUAAGAAUCUCCUGAAUUACUGAAGUCGCACUAGGUUUAUGCCUUUGGCCUGACAGUCAUUUCGUUUUUGUCUUAACUUCAUAUUCUUCCCUGAGAAGGUGUUAGCUGUGAUCAUCUUAAAGAUGAAAGGAAUCCACAUGUCUAAGUGUAGCAGUUGAAGUUGAUUCCAGGUCGAGAUUUGUUAUGCCGAGUAGAGAUUUCAAUAUAAGAUCAAAUCUCAAUGAGUUCCAAGGGUAGUGGUUUGACCAUAAACAUCUUACUGA
Solanum tuberosum (potato) is the source of this 1570-nucleotide RNA transcript. It is a transcript of the gene named serine/arginine-rich splicing factor 2-like, with no coding region annotated. NCBI's taxonomy places the organism in Eukaryota, Viridiplantae, Streptophyta, Magnoliopsida, Solanales, Solanaceae. The record is from RefSeq and is marked provisional. The transcript has 9 exons.